This 253-nucleotide ribosomal RNA is filed under the name uncultured bacterium. RNAcentral's name for it is "partial 16S ribosomal RNA". It matches the Rfam family "Bacterial small subunit ribosomal RNA", at positions 524 to 776 of the family's 1533-position model. The record is from RNAcentral.
UACGGGGGGAGCAAGCGUUGUUCGGAUUUACUGGGCGUAAAGGGCGCGUAGGCGGCCUUCUAAGUCGAACGUGAAAUCCCCGGGCUCAACCCGGGAACUGCGUCCGAGACUGGAAGGCUCGAAUCCGGGAGAGGGAUGUGGAAUUCCAGGUGUAGCGGUGAAAUGCGUAGAUAUCUGGAGGAACAUCGGUGGCGAAGGCGGCAUCCUGGACCGGUAUUGACGCUGAGGCGCGAAAGCCAGGGGAGCAAACGGG